Molecule: ribosomal RNA, 484 nt
Filed under: uncultured bacterium
Lineage: Bacteria
Description: partial 16S ribosomal RNA
Rfam family: Bacterial small subunit ribosomal RNA (bases 58-484)
Source: RNAcentral
GGGGGGGGGGGGGGGGGGGGGGGGGGGGGGGGGGGCGGGGGGGGGGGGGGGCGUCGGGCUGGCGGCGGGUGGGGAACGGGUGAGUAAUGCAUCGGGGCGUGCCGAGUAGUGGGGGAUAGGCCGGCGAAAGCCGGAUUAAUACCGCACACGACCUGAGGGGGCCAGCGGGGGGCCGAACGGCCUCGCGCUAUUGGAGGGGACGAUGUCAGAUUAGCUAGUUGGUGGGGACAAGGCUUACCAAGGCGACGAUCCGUAGCUGGUCUGAGAGGACGACCCGCCACACUGGGACUGAGGCACGGCCCAGACUCCUACGGGAGGCAGCAGUGGAGAAUUUUGGACAAUGGGGGCAACCCUGAUCCAGCCAUGCCGCGUGCGAGAAGAAGGCCUUCGGGGUGUUAACCGCUUUUGUUCGGGAAAAAAUCCUCUGGGCUAAUACCCCGGGGGGAUGACGGUACCGGAAGAAUAAGCACCGGCUAACUACGUG